ACGGGAGGCAGCAGUAGGGAAUCUUCCACAAUGGGCGAAAGCCUGAUGGAGCAACGCCGCGUGAGUGAAGAAGGAUUUCGGUUCGUAAAACUCUGUUGUAAGGGAAGAACAAGUACAGUAGUAACUGGCUGUACCUUGACGGUACCUUAUUAGAAAGCCACGGCUAACUACGUGCCAGCAGCCGCGGUAAUACGUAGGUGGCAAGCGUUGUCCGGAAUUAUUGGGCGUAAAGCGCGCGUAGGUGGUUUCUUAAGUCUGAUGUGAAAGCCCACGGCUCAACCGUGGAGGGUCAUUGGAAACUGGGAGACUUGAGUGCAGAAGAGGAUAGUGGAAUUCCAAGUGUAGCGGUGAAAUGCGUAGAGAUUUGGAGGAACACCAGUGGCGAAGGCGACUAUCUGGUCUGUAACUGACACUGAGGCGCGAAAGCGUGGGGAGCAAACAGGAUUAGAUACCCUGGUAGUCCACGCCGUAAACGAUGAGUGCUAAGUGUUAGGGGGUUUCCGCCCCUUAGUGCUGCAGCUAACGCAUUAAGCACUCCGCCUGGGGAGUACGGUCGCAAGACUGAAACUCAAAGGAAUUGAC
RNAcentral lists this ribosomal RNA (582 nucleotides) under uncultured bacterium. RNAcentral describes it as "bacterial SSU rRNA". It matches the Rfam family "Bacterial small subunit ribosomal RNA", at positions 341 to 914 of the family's 1533-position model. The record is from RNAcentral.